GGAAUGAGCAAUGACCGAAACUAUAUACUUAACUAUUCGAAUAAAACUUUUAAUUCUUGUCAAACUACAAGACUUUCAUGCAAAGGUUCGAAGAUCCGUAUUUGAACCCUCAUACUGAUUCGUAUAUAAUAUUUAAUAAGUCUAAGAUUCUUAAUCAUCCAAAUUCCGACAAGAAAGGAGACUUCCAAACUCGAAACUGAUACGUUUUGUAUUGGUAAAACUUACAUUGGAUGAAGACCUUCGAUGACGAGAAUCUUGGGAGGCUGAAUAAGCUCAGGUGCGUCGAGAAGUCCUGUGACGUGAUUAUAAAUAGGUUUCUCGACGGCGAUGCCACUCUUGAGAGCUUUGACUUGCUCAUACAUGUUUUUUUUAAUUCGAAUGGUUUAUUGGCAUGAAGACAAUGUUGCUAUAUAUUUUGGUGAUAUCAAACUCCCCAGUUUUGAUUCUAUGGUCAGAUACGCAGUGCUAUUGUGUUUAAAUCGAUUUUUAUAAUCAACAUUAGACCUCUUUUAUUCAUAUGAACUUCUUCAAUUUGAGGUUAUAUGGUGAGAAGAUACGAAGUAAUAAACUUGGUAAUUAUAAUUAUAAGCUCGAAAUAGGUUCAGUUAAUGAAGUAUUAAAGGUGAAAUUAAACAACUAAUCAAUCUUAAGUCAGUAAUAAUAGUUGGUUUUAUGCAUAAACGUUAGAAAAGUGAAGUGCAGUGAUCCUUCAAUACCUGCCUCGCGAGAUCAAACGCUCCACUGUUCUUAUAGAUCAAAUACAUAUUGUGAGCAGCCUCUUUACGUAGGUCACAAUUAACAGGUUUACGCUCUUCUGCAACAUUUGGAUCUUCAUUCGGAAGUUCUGGUAUUGGAUAUUCUUUCUCAUAAAACCGCUAUAACCUUCUCGUAGCACGAAGCACAAGUCCUACGUGAUGAUACUCCUGAGCAACGUUAUACAACGCCACUUGGCUGUUACUGCAGAUUCUGAGAUUGUUGUAUAGACAUGCAUCUUGAGUCGGAAACCGAGAGUUAAGUUGAUUAAAGCAGCUCCGGAAAAAAAAGAUGGAGAAGGUGAAACUUUAUACUACUUUUUAAACCCUGACCGAAAAAAAAUCGCGUAUAGAAAGCUCUCUCUAACGUGGAAUGUUUUAGUUAAUUGCAUGUACCAAUCAAUCACAAUCACACAAGGGUUUCGUGGUGUAGUUGGUUAUCACGUCAGUCUAACACACUGAAGGUCUCCAGUUCGAACCUGGACGAAGCCAUUAUUUUAUUUUUCUUUAACAAAACGAAAAUACUCAAAUUUCGUAUUAACAAAAAUAAUCGCCGUUGCCGGGGAUCGAACCCGGGUCACCCGCGUGACAGGCGGGAAUACUUACCACUAUACUACAACGACCUUGUUGUUUGCUAAUCAGACUUUUAUAUUUAUUUUCUAUAACGUGAGUUUCUCUAAGGUUCUGUUCUGUACGUGGUUAUUGCUGUUGAUGAUAAUGUGGCUUUCCAUAUUUGUAGAUGAGCUAAAGAAUUAUUUCUGUGUAAAUGGUGACAUAAUUGAGAAUCAGUUUAUGUAUGAUCACCACACUGGAAAGUCAAGAGGGUUUGGUUUUGUAACCUAUCUGACUGAAGAUUCUGUGGACAAACUUUUCUCUGAUGAGAAAAGUUCAUGAGUUCAGUAACAAACAGGUAACCCUUUCUUUUACUUAUGUUUUCAAGUUUAAGCUAAAGAACCGUAGUAUAUCUCAAGCACUUACAAUGGCUCAAUCGGUCGAUAUAAAAAGGGCUGAACCAAAGAAAACCGGAGGAGAUAACAGCUUUAGCUCCUACGGUGCUAGUGGAAAGUAUGAUCAGGAAGAUUGUUAUGGUGGGAAAGAAAAUGGAGAUAACAUUAUGUAUUCGGGUAAUGGGGAUUAUAUUGGUUUUGGAGCUUAUGACGUCUUCAUUAGUCUUAACUCUUAACGUUGCAUAUACGUUUAUUCCAAGCAGUACCGGACUAACAUUUUUCACUGCCCCAAUCAAAAUUUAAAAUUAUGCCUUUGUGCAUAUUUUAUCAAAAUCAUAAAACAGUAUAAAACAAUUUUAAUUUUUAUUAAAUAGAAAUAGAAGUCUAUAGUUUGUUCAGGAAAUAAAACUGUGAUAAAAAUAUUUAUUGGUAAAAUUAAUUUUGUUUUUUAUUUUUUUAUGCAAAAUUAUCCACUAGAUUUCUACAGUCAUUUUUUUCAACCAUCCAUUAUAUGUCUAUCAUAAAAAUCAGUAAACACAAUCCAUAAAUAUUAUCGUAAUAAAGUGAAGCUAUCAAGCUUUUAUCACAUUUCGAAAACUAUGAACUAACAAACAUAUCUUCUUACUACGUAAAGGAUUAGUUGAAAAAACUGAAACAUUAAAACUAAACUAUAUAUUAAGGGUUAAGAGAAAAGAGGACAAAAAAAAAUUAGAAUAAAAUAAAAUUAUGCAAAACGAUGCAAAAGAAUAAAUUGAAACCAAAAGAAAAUCUGUUUUGUUGCUAAUUUUAAUUAGAGUUUGAAUUAUCAUCUAAAAUAGAAAUUUACUAAUAUAUUUAAUAUAUAACAAAUUUAUAAAUAUAGUUGAAAAGUUCAAAAAAUUUUAUAUAAAAAUGCCUUAUAAAUAAUAUUUUAACAAAAAAAAUUACAAAAAUUUAUUUGUUUAUAGGUAAUAAUACGAAUAUUUUUUUAAAAAUAUGCCCUAUUAUUUUGGAUGCCCUAAUCCACGGCUUGGGUGGCUUACCCUCCGGGCCGGCCCUGAAAGCUAGUAAGGGCUCUUCUUCAAAAAUAUAUUGGUAAUAUAUAUCUCUUUUUCAGUUCAAAAAAAUAUAUAUAUAUAUCUUUUGCAGAUAGCCAAGGUGAUAAAAAUAUUUAGAUGUAUUUCCUUUUUGAAGAAAAUAUAUCUUUUUUCCCUUGAAUGUUUCAUGCAGUUGUGGAUUUCUCUCUGAUCCAGAAGGCAUCAAAGGCAAGUUUUUACCAGUGCACUUCUGUAACUCGAAAUCAAUAUGUAUCUAUGUUAGAUACGUACUAAAAUACAUGAGUAUGAUCAACAGGAAGAAACCUUAAUUCAUUCUUUUGCUUAAAGGUUGAUUUUCGGUUUUAAUCUACUUUUAUCAAUAGAUACUUUUAUCAAUAGAUAAAAGCAUUGUACUAACUUAAUUGUUAUUGCUCUGCUAAUAAAUUUUCUACAUUACAUGCUUUUCUUUUUAUAUCUCCACACAAAUUACAAACAUGCAACACCGUCCUUUUCUCCAUGAAAAUCCGCGGAAACAAAGCAUAAAGAAAGAAAGAAGAAGAAACAACCAAUGGGUUUAUCGACGCGUUCUGUUUUGCUUAUUUGUUUUAGGCUUUAGCAGCUUCUGUAGGAGCAUUGGCUUUGUUGGCAAUGAGCUGCUCAUAGAGAUCUCUGAUUUUCAAUCCAACAAUGGUCUGGAAAAGACCAGUUCCGUUGUUGCUACCAGGGAAGUCAGCAUGUUUGAGCAUUUGUUGAGUCACUUCACCGUAGAAUUUGGUCGAGAGGUUGCUCAGAUGGCUCUCCACGUAAAUCAGCUCGUCAAGUCUAUCGAAUUGCCCAUCCAUCUCCACAACAGAAACCUGAAAGAAAGAACAAAUGUUCAAACCAAGAUCUAAAGAAACUUAAACUUAACUCAUUCUGCAACCUAAAGAGACAAAUGAAUGCACCUCAUUGUCGAAGUAGGAAUCAGGUUGGUAGUUGAACUUGAUGCCAGGGUAGGAGCAGGUGAGUUUGCGACCACAAGGGAUCCACGAGAUGGUUGAACCUUCAUCGAAUAGGUAAACCGGGCUGAAGUACUUAACACCUUCUUUCAUUAUCAAUCUCACUCUCAACACUUUGCCUUCAUUAUCAUCUGGAAUCAACUGCGUUGGAAGCACUUCUAUCACCGCAUCCGCGUACUGCUUUUGUGGGUCUGUAUAAGCCAUUCAUAGAUUGUUAAACCAGAUGAGUUAAUAUUCUAGGGAAAUAUAAAACAUAAACUAUAAUUAUACCGAUGAAUGCAUCGAAAUCGGGCUUUCGUGCUUCGAUACUUGCUUUGAUGCUCUCUAAACUGUGACCUCUCUCAGCCAUGUCCCUCUAUUAUCAUCAAACCGUUACAAAAGUCCAUAUCAACGACACAUUAACGGUAACGGUCGAGUGAAAUGAAAUAUGUAUAUAGAUAAAGAAACACACCUGGAUUUUCCAAGCGAAUUUGACCUCAUUGCUAAUGUCUAGGUAGAUACUGAAGUCCAACAAGUCUCUUACUCUCUCAUCAAACCUUCACAAGUAGAUAAAACAUUAUUAUAAAAUAUUGGAAUGAGCAAUGACCGAAACUAUAUACUUAACUAUUCGAAUAAAACUUUUAAUUCUUGUCAAACUACAAGACUUUCAUGCAAAGGUUCGAAGAUCCGUAUUUGAACCCUCAUACUGAUUCGUAUAUAAUAUUUAAUAAGUCUAAGAUUCUUAAUCAUCCAAAUUCCGACAAGAAAGGAGACUUCCAAACUCGAAACUGAUACGUUUUGUAUUGGUAAAACUUACAUUGGAUGAAGACCUUCGAUGACGAGAAUCUUGGGAGGCUGAAUAAGCUCAGGUGCGUCGAGAAGUCCUGUGACGUGAUUAUAAAUAGGUUUCUCGACGGCGAUGCCACUCUUGAGAGCUUUGACUUGCUCAUACAUGAGAUCAAAGUCAUUGGCGCGUGGGUCCAAAGCAGUGACUCCUUUCUCUUUGCGACCGGUCCUGUCCAACGAAUGGUAAUCGUCGAGACAGAUCACAGUGGUCAUGUCACUGAUGAGUGUGUUGGAGUCAGGGUUCCCUCCUUUUGGUGGCUCAGCGGCUCCACCGAAGACACUGGUUAGCCUCCGCAUGAAAGUACUUUUGCCGCAUCCAGAGUCGGCAGCGAGUCCGAUCACGACGGUUUGUU
RNAcentral lists this long non-coding RNA (4891 nucleotides) under Brassica napus (rape). RNAcentral describes it as "long non-coding RNA (BNAP_LNC007947)". The stretch from base 1171 to 1244 matches the Rfam family "tRNA". The record is from RNAcentral. Lineage: Eukaryota; Viridiplantae; Streptophyta; Magnoliopsida; Brassicales; Brassicaceae.